GGACCAUCGCCGAGCCAGACGUGCACGUACUCUCGCAGCCAGCUCGAGACACACUCAUUCCUUAGUUGAGGCUCGAGCCGCGCGGACCGCCGCUCACUGUCGUCGCUCUGCUCACGCUCUCUGUGUUUGCGCGUAUUGUAAUAUCGUACAUCGCAAUCCGAGUCUCGGCAGCGCUUCUUUCCGUACACCGAAUCGUACAGUAUACAGUUUAUACGCGAGUGCUACGCUACAGUGCGAUACGUGUAUUCGUUCAUCCGCAACAUAUAUGCACGCACGUGAGACUGCAGCGGUGUGCAACCUUCGCUGUUAAGCUCGUUAGCCCUGACAGGAGUGUAGCUGCAACCAAGCGAUCCGGUUACUCUUCGUCCAUCUCUCUCUCUCUCUCUCUCUCUCUCUCUCUCUCUCUCUCUCUCUCUCUCUCUCUCUCUCUCUCUCUCUCUCUCUCUCUCUCUCUCUCUCUCGCGCGCGCUCUCGCGCAAGUCUACAUCAGUCCGUGCACAGUGUCAAGUUUACGCGCGUGCGCGAAGAUGCGCUCGCGGAUGCACCCCGAUGGCUGCUGCUGAGUGCAUCGUCGUCUUGGGAAUCAGAGUCCGGCCGUUGGAGUGACCCGUGGGAAGGACUGCGCGGCCAGAAAAGGAGCAGACGAGAAGAGCAUCGAACGCAGGGAAAGAAAUAUUGGACAGAUACACACGCAUACAAGCAUAUAGAUACUCGUCGCGCGCCGUCGCACACUGCACGGUGAAGUGACGUUACCUAACCUCAUCCGGCGCGGCGCACCUAACCUCAACCGAGAGCCGCUCCAGCGACGUGUUGAGCGGGCCGAGUACCCCUCGCUCCUCAGCAGACGAAAAUUCAGUGAAGCGACUCUUUUUUUCCGUCGUUGAGAGUGAUACACGCGGAUACAGUGGAUUGCACGCGUACACGUACACGCCGCGAGGAGUGUAUCGCAGUGCGCGAGGCAGUGGAUUCUGGUGGUAAGAGUUUUGGUUCGAAUCGCUAAGAUUGAGCAGCGGGCAACCAUGUUCCGAGCGUACGGGACUGCGCCACCGGAAACGGCGACCACCGCUGAUCUCUACACCUGGAAUUCGCCAAUUUACAACAAAGGUGAGUUACGGUCGUAGCGUUUCACUCCCGGCGCAGUAAAUCCUCGACUCGUUACGUAAGCUUUAUCGUAGUGCUUAAUCCGCCUGUACAUUAAGUAAAUCCCUGUAAACUCCUAAUAAAAUAACCGCCCUAUCCAUACCUGCCGGCACCGGAAAAUGAAAAAAAAACAUGAAGUGCUAACUUUCUAAAUUCCAAACACUGCGGUUCACUCGAUAUUUCGCGCAUCAAAGAACCGCAAAAAUCUCGUCUCCCCAAAACGAGUUGUAUCGAGGGGAUUAGCACAAAAUUACAGCGCGGCAACGCUACAAUCGAUAAUGCAUGCGCAUCUGGCUUUGACGGACAGAAGUGGGACGUGUCGAGAGAGAAAAAGAGAGGGGGGGGGGGCGUCACAGGAUCGAGAGAAACAAUCGUCAGAGAGGGGACGGACAGGAGACACGCAGGAUUAUCAGCGAUCUUGCGGCUGCACGCGGUAAACGCCUCUAAGGUUUCAUCCUGUGCGAGGUGACGCAACCGAAACGCUAGGAACUUCUCCCCUUACUCGGAUGGAGAGAGUAGGUGCAUGACUCUUCUUUCGUGAGCUUCGUAUGCUAUAUCCCUUUUUCUUCCUCACGCGGACGUCCUGUUAGAGGGGUUGUAAAUAUUUAUUUUAAUAAUGUGGUUGAAAACUUAAUACAGGAUAAUGUAUGAAGAAGAAAAGAUUAAAUUUAAUACAUAAUAAUUCCUUGUA
Molecule: long non-coding RNA, 1831 nt
Filed under: Nasonia vitripennis (jewel wasp)
Lineage: Eukaryota; Metazoa; Arthropoda; Insecta; Hymenoptera; Pteromalidae
Description: uncharacterized LOC116417187
Source: RNAcentral